This 491-nucleotide ribosomal RNA is filed under the name uncultured bacterium. Its description in RNAcentral is "partial 16S ribosomal RNA". It matches the Rfam family "Bacterial small subunit ribosomal RNA", at positions 29 to 506 of the family's 1533-position model. The record is from RNAcentral.
AGUGAACGCUGGCGGUAGGCCUAACACAUGCAAGUCGAACGGCAGCACAGUAAGAGCUUGCUCUUACGGGUGGCGAGUGGCGGACGGGUGAGGAAUACAUCGGAAUCUACUUUUUCGUGGGGGAUAACGUAGGGAAACUUACGCUAAUACCGCAUACGACCUACGGGUGAAAGCAGGGGAUCUUCGGACCUUGCGCGAUUGAAUGAGCCGAUGUCGGAUUAGCUAGUUGGCGGGGUAAAGGCCCACCAAGGCGACGAUCCGUAGCUGGUCUGAGAGGAUGAUCAGCCACACUGGAACUGAGACACGGUCCAGACUCCUACGGGAGGCCGCAGUGGGGAAUAUUGGACAAUGGGCGCAAGCCUGAUCCAGCCAUACCGCGUGGGUGAAGAAGGCCUUCGGGUUGUAAAGCCCUUUUGUUGGGAAAGAAAAGCAGCAGGUUAAUACCCCGCUGUUCUGACGGUACCCAAAGAAUAAGCACCGGCUAACUUCGU